Long non-coding RNA from Malaclemys terrapin pileata, 266 nucleotides. RefSeq lists it as uncharacterized. The record is from RefSeq and is a predicted model, not a curated record. NCBI's taxonomy places the organism in Eukaryota, Metazoa, Chordata, Testudines, Emydidae. The transcript is spliced from 3 exons.
CUUCGAUGCCAUGACCCUGUGGACAACAUCUGCUUCUUGGCAGCCCGGGCAGUAUACAACUUGUAUUGUAUCCAGCUGGUUAAAAAGCAGCUUGAGAAGGGACAUGGAGUGGAGAAGGUAGACACGCUAAAAAAUCUGGGAACAUACAGUCCCUCUGUGUUCUACAACAACACCUCACAAAUCGCUAAGGCUUUUGCAGAAUAUUUUACCCCACUUCAGCUAACAAAUCUGGUUCUGACAGCACUUGAUGGUUUGACAGAUCCCAG